UAGGGAAUCUUCCGCAAUGGACGCAAGUCUGACGGAGCAACGCCGCGUGAGUGAAGAAGGAUUUCGGUUCGUAAAACUCUGUUGUUAGAGAAGAACAGCGCAUAGAGUAACUGUUAUGCGUGUGACGGUAUCUAACCAGAAAGCCUCGGCUAACUACGUGCCAGCAGCCGCGGUAAUACGUAGGUGGCAAGCGUUGUCCGGAUUUAUUGGGCGUAAAGCGAGCGCAGGCGGUCAAUUAAGUCUGAUGUGAAAGCCCCCGGCUCAACCGGGGAGGGUCAUUGGAAACUGGUUGACUUGAGUGCAGAAGAGGGGAGUGGAAUUCCAUGUGUAGCGGUGAAAUGCGUAGAUAUAUGGAGGAACACCAGUGGCGAAGGCGACUCUCUGGUCUGUAACUGACGCUGAGGCUCGAAAGCGUGGGUAGCAAACAGG
RNAcentral lists this ribosomal RNA (429 nucleotides) under Bacteroidota bacterium. Its description in RNAcentral is "Bacteroidetes bacterium partial 16S ribosomal RNA". It matches the Rfam family "Bacterial small subunit ribosomal RNA", at positions 355 to 776 of the family's 1533-position model. The record is from RNAcentral. Lineage: Bacteria; Pseudomonadati; Bacteroidota.